Molecule: ribosomal RNA, 521 nt
Filed under: Havaika cf. verecunda MAA-2006
Lineage: Eukaryota; Metazoa; Arthropoda; Arachnida; Araneae; Salticidae
Description: partial 16S ribosomal RNA
Rfam family: Bacterial large subunit ribosomal RNA
Source: RNAcentral
UUCUAUUAGAAAUUAUUAAUAGUAGAAUCUGCUCAAUGAUUAAUUAAAUAGCCGCAAUUUGUGCUAAGGUAGCAUAAUCACUUGUCUUUUAAAUGAAGACUAGAACAAAUGAUUUAACAUUUCAAUUUAUGUUCCUAAUUUAUAUAUUAAAUCUCUCUAAAAUGUAAAAAGACAUUUAUUUUAUAGAAAGACGAUAAGACCCUAUUGAACUUAACUGUAGUUAAACUGGGGCAGUAAAUUAAUUAUUAUUUUAAUAAUAUAUUAAAAUAUUAAUAUCUAAUAUUAUUAAAUAAUUAAGUUACCAUAGGGAUAACAGCGUAAUAGAAUUUCAAAGAUCUUAUUUCAAAAUCAGAUUACGACCUCGAUGUUGAAUUAAUAUUCUAAUUAAGGCAAGACUUAAAAAAGAAAGUCUGUUCGACUUUUAAAAAAUUACAUGAUCUGAGUUCAAACCGGCGUAAGCCAGGUCGGCUUCUAUCUUCUAAAUAAAUUUUUACAGUACGAAAGGGCCUAAAAAUAUAAUU